RNAcentral lists this ribosomal RNA (301 nucleotides) under uncultured bacterium. RNAcentral's name for it is "partial 16S ribosomal RNA". It matches the Rfam family "Bacterial small subunit ribosomal RNA", at positions 509 to 807 of the family's 1533-position model. The record is from RNAcentral.
CAGCAGCCGCGGGAAUACGUAGGUGGCAAGCGUUGUCCGGAAUUAUUGGGCGUAAAGCGCGCGCAGACGGUUACUUAAGCCAGAUGUGAAAUCCCCAAGCUUAACUUGGGACGUGCAUUUGGAACUGGGUGACUAGAGUGUGUCAGAGGGAGGUAGAAUUCCACGUGUAGCGGUGGAAUGCGUAGAGAUGUGGAGGAAUACCGAUGGCGAAGGCAGCCUCCUGGGAUAACACUGACGUUGAGGCUCGAAAGCGUGGGGAGCAAACAGGAUUAGAUACCCCGGUAGUCCCUGUCUCUUAUAC